GUCGCUCGUAGGAAGCCCAGCCGCCGCCCCGUCCCCGCGUUCUCUCACGCUCCACCCCGACGCCCCUUCUCCACCCCUCUCGCCACGGCACCGUCCGCUUCCGCGCGCCUCUGCCGUCUCCUCCUUCUCCCCGGUGGCUGCCUCCAUCUCCUCCGUGUCACCAUCUGACCCAGACACGGUCGCAGUCCGCCGGCGCCGCAGGCGGAGGAGGCGCGGCUAGGAUCGAGGAGCACGAGCCAUCGCCGCCACCUACCCAUCGGCGCUGUGAACGAAGCGACAAGAGAGGGAGGUCGUCGUCGGCCUUCUAAAUCCCGCUUUUCCCCCGUCACUCCCCCUCGCGCCGUCCCCGCCUCGUUCCCCUGCCACCUCUCAUAGUGCCAUCGCCGCCCCAUCUCCUCCCACACUUCUGAUCUCCGAGCUCGAGAUGCAGAGGCGCGCCGGUGCUCGACCAGAUCAACACGGUUGGUCCGCUAUUUGCAGGUGAUCGUUGGUCUGGCCGGUUCAUUAUUUGAUUUGUGCCAGCUUGCUACUCUUCGUCCACAACUUUGCAGGUCGACCUCUUUUCUUCUCCCCUUCUCUGCUUUUAGGCUAGGCUUGAAUUUUUGCAGCCAUGUAUUUUCCUUAGAUUGCCUGUGUAGAGCUGCUAUUAGAUUCGGUUUAUUUUUGCCUGUCGUUUCUGUUGGUGUGCAUCCUGGUCAAUGGGUGUGUUUGUUUCUUGUACUCCUAUAUUGGUAGAUGGCUAGAGUAUAAGAAUAUUAUUCCCUGCUUGUAUUUUUGUGGUCUCCUUUUCGUCUGAGCUUGUUUUUUGUGUGUGGAAUAUAGGUAUGUGUUUUUUGUUCCUUCCUUGGAUCCUGGUAGAUUUUUUGUACCUUUCUGCUAUGUCCUAGAAGUAACCUACUGAUUUGUUUGCUGGUGCUACUCGCAUGUGUCAUGUUGUUGGGUUCUUCCUUACAUGGGCGAUUCCGAGCGAUCUCUGCUUCACCUCCGCCGCCGGUGGCCGCGCUGGUCAUGCUCCCGCUGCAGAUUCUUAGGUAGCUAUGUUCCAAAGGAGGACAUUUUGGGGGCUUUCUUGUUUUGUUGGUGCCAUGCCGUCAAGUAGAUCCUUGGAUUUAGCUAGGACAACUUGUGUGUGCCUCUCAGAUUCCUACAGAAGAAAUGAUACCUUUUCUUUUCUAUUGGAUGGACAACAACAUAACCACAACAAUAGGUCUAUCAGGUAAUUGGCCAUCUGUCUUUAUCCAUGUGUAGUUAGAACUUAUAUGUCAGAUUGUGCUAUCAAGUCAAGUUUUUGAUUUAUACUCUUGCAUCUAAAUAAUGGGGAAACCUGUUUUCUCAAAUUUUGCACUUUAGACAUGGAAUUUUUAGGGAAAUUUGUGAAUAGUUAAAUAAAUUCGAGCAUUUGAUUCACUGCAUGUGCGUGGUGGUCGAGCACGGUAGCGCUUAUGGGUGCCGUCUCCGUCGACUGGAGAAGCACAGGUCGCGGCUCACGCCGCUGCUCUAUUGGGGUCAUCAGCCGUCGUGCUUGCGUUGCGCAUACGCUCAGUGAACCAACCGAGUCGUGGAUGCAGUGAGCGUUGGGUGCUGUGUCCGUCGGCCAAGCAGCAAGCCGGAGCUGCAAGUCGUUGAACAUGGGGUGCUACUGUGAGGAUCUCAUGUCUCUCACUCUAUGUGUAUUAGUAGACCAUUUCCUUUCUGAAUAUGAGCUAUGCUAUGGAUCUUGGGAGCAGGUCAUCCUUAGUUUGCUUACAGUGGAGUAGUGGCGGAGAGGUGGAACUGGGAGUGGAGGUCAACAUAUUAAACGCACGCAAGAACUCAUCUCUAUGUACAAGUUCUCGGCAGAUCUGGCCUCCAGAGCAAACGAAACGGACGGCCAGAUCUCCUUGUUGGAGGAGGGGGAUGGAGGGAUGGAGAAGCUCUCAUCGUGGAGGGCGGUGUGUACGACGCCUGCGACCACGCCUGCAACAUCUGCCUCGAGGCCUUCUGCGACAGUGACUCCUCCACGGCUACAAGCUGCAAGCAUGAUUUGCAUCUCCGGUGCAUCCUUGAGUGGUGAGGACCAUGCUUUCUUGCCUUUGCAAUUUCCCCAAAAGUUAUGUAACCAUUCGACAAGAUCUGUGGCUCCAUCCCAUGGAUGUUCAGGCUAUGGCAGGAGGGGCAGCACCGGCUGAGAGGUGCUACUGCUGGACCAUGACCACGGCGCCACCAAGCAGUCCCUCCUCUUCGCCUCCCACGACAAAGAUUAUCUGAUAGAAGCAAUAAUCCGUAGAAGAAACUAUAUGUUUUGAGGAGGCGGAGUCAAGCGCGAGAGCAUGAGGUGUAUGCACCUAGUGGCUUUCUUCAUACAAGCACAAGAGCAUAAGGAUCAUGGCAUGUAAGGAGUCGAGCAACGAGAUGACCCAGUCAAACUAUCAAGUAGUAUUAGACAUUGGCAUAACUAAGUACGCUAUUUAUCUCGCAAUGUCUUGCUGGCUCGCUUGAGCUAUGUCAUGACCCAACUGUUGUAUCUAUUUAGUUGUGAUCCAUUGUAUUGGCUUACUUUUGGACUAUGCUUUGGUUAUAGCGCAACUACUUAGGUUAUUUAUCUCGCACCUCUCCAGUGGCUUCAUUUGUCUAUAUAAUGACUCGAAAUUAUGUGUCUACUAUGUGA
Molecule: non-coding RNA, 2647 nt
Organism: Aegilops tauschii subsp. strangulata
Lineage: Eukaryota; Viridiplantae; Streptophyta; Magnoliopsida; Poales; Poaceae
Source: RefSeq, a predicted model, not a curated record